Non-coding RNA from Pelobates cultripes (western spadefoot toad), 317 nucleotides. The record is from the annotation of a GenBank genome assembly. Lineage: Eukaryota; Metazoa; Chordata; Amphibia; Anura; Pelobatidae.
GGGUGGUUUGUUCUGUUGGUAAUUAUUGUAUACAUCUAAUUUUGUUCAAUCACCGCAUUUAUACAUCUUCUGUAGGCUGAUGUGUAGAUACUUUGAUUGAAGAUACUCUCAGAGCUGACACUGUUUAUUAUGUGAAGCAUAAACACAACACAGUAACUGGAUUGAAUUAACCAGAGCUCUUAUUUAAAACACCAAAUGAAUGCAUAUCUAGCACACAAUUGUAAGAGAAAAUGGAAAAUGUAGGUAUGGCUUGCUGCAUAGGGAUACCUACAAUUUAAAAAAUGAUUUAUAUUUCCACAAAUUUCAUUUUAAAUGUA